RNAcentral lists this long non-coding RNA (488 nucleotides) under Gallus gallus (chicken). RNAcentral's name for it is "long non-coding RNA NONGGAT006940". Lineage: Eukaryota; Metazoa; Chordata; Aves; Galliformes; Phasianidae. The record is from RNAcentral.
GUGACCAUUUGAUGUGAAGGCAAAAUCCUGAACAGCAGGGUCAGACCCCUGGCUGCUACUCCUCUCAUAGCCAUCUCCAGACUGCCAAGAGAUAAUUUAGCUUCACAACAACUUCCCCCAGUGAACGGCUGGGGAUACACUAUGAAGAAGCAGCAGAUACACAACUUCUAAAUACAGAAGGAGGCAAAUAAAAAUCUGAGGUGUGAAAGAAGAAAGAGCAGAGAGUUUCCAGGGGAGAUCUCAGAGAGGCACAGAAUCCCUGAGAGAAAGACUGUGAGAGACACCACAGCACAAGCCAACAUCCCACAGAAGAGAGAGAAGAGGAGAGCAGGUCAGUAGGACAGUCACUUAACUGAAGAGCAGCAAGACUGCAAGACCUGCAGACUUGCACUGAGGAAAAGCCUUGUGCAGUUGAGGGACAGACCUGGAUGUGGCAUGUGUGAGCUAAGUGAGGGAGCUGCUGUUCAAACAGAGCAAUGAGGACCUGC